GUCCCUGUAGCUUAAAUUAAAGCAUGGCACUGAAGAUGCCAAGACGGAACACUACCCCAAGGAC
This 64-nucleotide transfer RNA is filed under the name Psittacula cyanocephala (Plum-headed parakeet). Its description in RNAcentral is "tRNA-Phe". It matches the Rfam family "tRNA". From Rfam's summary of the family: Transfer RNA (tRNA) molecules are approximately 80 nucleotides in length. Their secondary structure includes four short double-helical elements and three loops (D, anti-codon, and T loops). Further hydrogen bonds mediate the characteristic L-shaped molecular structure. tRNAs have two regions of fundamental functional importance: the anti-codon, which is responsible for specific mRNA codon recognition, and the 3' end, to which the tRNAs corresponding amino acid is attached (by aminoacyl-tRNA synthetases). tRNAs cope with the degeneracy of the genetic code in two manners: having more than one tRNA (with a specific anti-codon) for a particular amino acid; and 'wobble' base-pairing, i.e. permitting non-standard base-pairing at the 3rd anti-codon position. Lineage: Eukaryota; Metazoa; Chordata; Aves; Psittaciformes; Psittacidae. The record is from RNAcentral.